RNAcentral lists this ribosomal RNA (467 nucleotides) under uncultured bacterium. Its description in RNAcentral is "partial 16S ribosomal RNA". It matches the Rfam family "Bacterial small subunit ribosomal RNA", at positions 29 to 507 of the family's 1533-position model. The record is from RNAcentral.
ACGAACGCUGGCGGCGUGCUUAACACAUGCAAGUCGAACGGAAAGGCCCUGCUUUUGUGGGGUGCUCGAGUGGCGAACGGGUGAGUAACACGUGAGUAACCUGCCCUUGACUUUGGGAUAACUUCAGGAAACUGGGGCUAAUACCGGAUAGGAGCUCCUGCUGCAUGGUGGGGGUUGGAAAGUUUCGGCGGUUGGGGAUGGACUCGCGGCUUAUCAGCUUGUUGGUGGGGUAGUGGCUUACCAAGGCUUUGACGGGUAGCCGGCCUGAGAGGGUGACCGGCCACAUUGGGACUGAGAUACGGCCCAGACUCCUACGGGAGGCAGCAGUGGGGAAUAUUGCACAAUGGGCGGAAGCCUGAAGCAGCAACGCCGCGUGCGGGAUGACGGCCUUCGGGUUGUAAACCGCUUUCGCCUGUGACGAAGCGUGAGUGACGGUAAUGGGUAAAGAAGCACCGGCUAACUACGUG